CCGAGCAGAUAAGCUCAUUCCUUCUUUUCCUUCCUCUUUCUUCUACUCUUUCUUCUAUUCUUUCUUCUCAUUCUUUCUUCUUCUUCUCCUCUGUUUUUCAUCUGAGAGUGUAGGUGAGAACCGAUCUGAGGGAAAUUAUUGAGGAAGUUCUAUAGGCGACAAAGGUGAUGGUGUUGCUGUUAAUUAUGAUGGAGAAGAAUAAAGUAUUGUUUGGUUUACGAUUCACAGGGGGAGAAGUAAAGUUAGGGUUAUGAAGUUAGGAUUCGUGAAGAACCGAUGAUGAUAUCGAGUUGAUGAUUGAUGAGGAAAAGAAGAGGUUGUUGUUGAAUCAAGGUUCUGAAGAUGUAUAGUGAGUCUGUGAUGAAAUUAGGGUUCGAGAGAAGUGUUAGAAGAUGGGAUUAGAGUCGAAGGUGGAUGAUUAGAUAUGGGUAUGAUUGAUAUGAGGACUUAGUUAUAUUUUGAACAUGAAUCAAAAGACAGAGGGUUGAGAAUCAAUUUUAGGGUUUUCUGGAGAGGAUUGAUUCUGUGAGAAAUUGAGGAAUAAUUAAAGAUGGGUUAUGAUCAGGUACGACAUUUAGAUAUUUAUAUGAAGUUUAAUUUUGAUUCAAGGGUUAGUUAGGGUUUUAAAGAUUAGGAUUGAAGCUGUUGUUGAAGAUGGGGUUUAAUCAUACAAAUAAGGUUGAUUGUAUUGGUACUUAAUUACAGUUGGGGAUUAUAUGUUUGAGAUGUAGAAAUUGGUGUUUAGAGAAUUUGGUGGUGGUGAUGUUGAACUGGUGGAUAUGUAUGAUUUGAAUUGUUGUUAGUGUAGUGCAGGGUUGAAUGGAGCGUUACAAAGGACUAUAAUUAUUGAAUGGAGCGUUACAAAGAAUUGUCUUAUGUUAGAUUAGUAGAAAGAUUGCUAAGUUGCAGGGAGGAAUUGAACCUGUGGUGGUAUGAGAUUGUUAAGAUAACGGAAAAUGAGAUGUAUGGUCUGUCGUAGGUAAAGAAGAUAGAUGAACUGUUGGAGCUUAUUGUCUUGAAAUGGAACUGGAAUAGGUGUAGGAAUUGUAUUACAUAGAACUGUUGGUGUUGGCAAUGAAGAACUGGAAAUGAUGUUUUGGUUAGAUAAAUGAUGAAGGUGGUAAGGUAAUUAGGAAUGAAGAGGCAGUGUAUGGGGUUAGAGUAUUUGGUGAGUUGUUGCAGGUGGUAUCUAAGGAUGGUGGUAUUGUUUGUAUAACGGAUUCCUGAGUUUGUAUCUCAGAUAGUGAAGAUGUGUGUUUUUGGGUGAUAAAGCUCAACUUGGUGAUGCUGUGAGAGUUUGUAUUUGAGUUAUUCAACUGAAGAUUGGUCAUUACAGAGUUGUAGAUUGUGAUUGUUGUGAAAGCAUGGAACUGAUGAAAUUGCAGUUAGUCUAUUAACAACGAUCGAUUCAAAGGAUGAACCAGUGGAUCGUGGAUCUCGAGGUAGGAGUGGCUUAUCAUCAAAAGAGUUUCAGAGACAGAUCAGAAUUGUGCAGCGGAAGCUUCGUGGCGUUGAGUCCGUUAGUCGGAUAGUGUCUACUAUUUUUAUAUGUAUUUAUAAUUUAUUUGCAAACCAAAUGACUAUUGUGUAUGUAUCAUUUGAGAUGAG
This is a long non-coding RNA of Papaver somniferum (opium poppy), 1608 nucleotides long. RefSeq lists it as uncharacterized. Lineage: Eukaryota; Viridiplantae; Streptophyta; Magnoliopsida; Ranunculales; Papaveraceae. The record is from RefSeq and is a predicted model, not a curated record. The transcript has 3 exons.